UCAGUGUAAAUAAUGUUAUUGUUUGGUA
Molecule: small RNA, 28 nt
Filed under: Bombyx mori (domestic silkworm)
Lineage: Eukaryota; Metazoa; Arthropoda; Insecta; Lepidoptera; Bombycidae
Description: ovarian small RNA-25815
Source: RNAcentral